Molecule: ribosomal RNA, 330 nt
Filed under: Elops hawaiensis (Hawaiian ladyfish)
Lineage: Eukaryota; Metazoa; Chordata; Actinopteri; Elopiformes; Elopidae
Description: partial large subunit ribosomal RNA
Rfam family: Bacterial large subunit ribosomal RNA
Source: RNAcentral
AAGACGUAUGGCCACCCAUGCCGAGCAGCCCCACAACAAAAAAGCGAACAAGCCUAAUGGUACCUGGCCACGAUGUCUUCGGUUGGGGCGACCGCGGAGGAAAACCUAGCCUCCAUGUGGACCGGGGGGACUAUUACUACCCCUAAAGCCAAGAGACACACCUCUAAGCAACAGAACAUCUGACCAAAAAUGAUCCGGGCCAAAGCCCGAUCAACGAACCAAGUUACCCCAGGGAUAACAGCGCAAUCCUUUCCAAGAGUCCCUAUCGACGAAAGGGUUUACGACCUCGAUGUUGGAUCAGGACAUCCUAAUGGUGCAGCCGCUAUUAAG